RNAcentral lists this unclassified non-coding RNA (2319 nucleotides) under Hevea brasiliensis (rubber tree). Lineage: Eukaryota; Viridiplantae; Streptophyta; Magnoliopsida; Malpighiales; Euphorbiaceae. The record is from RNAcentral.
GCGGUGCAAGACUUGGCGGUCCCUUCCAAAGCCUCUUCAGUUUAUCAGGCUUUUCACACUGCUCAACACUUCAUUCCUUUCUCCGAUUCCACAGUCUCUCUCUAUGGAUUUUAUUCUGCCUUUCAACUUUCAACCUAAACUCUCUCGUUCCACGCUACUGCAUCUCUCUCUUCUUUUAUGCAUUGCAUUUUCUCAUUUCACAUAACUACCGUCACCUGUCGGUACCAAACUGGCGUAUCCAAUGUCGCCACGCGUGACUUUUUUUGGCAAAAAAAUGGAUUACGUGUCCUCUCCAUGGCCAUGGGCGAAUAGCAACUUGCUUGCCAAUUUGGGUUUCGCUUUCUAGGACUAGGAGAGCAGGUGGCCAAUGCCAAUACAAGUCCAAUUCAGUAUUCUUUACCAUUUCCAUAAACGACACUUGUAUCCGAUCGUUUCGAGAAAUCAAAGCAUUUCUGCUUUGAGUAAACAACUGUGGACGUGGUUGUUCUUGCCUUCACUUUGUACCUAGGAUGGGAUGGGGAAACAUUUACAGAAGGCGUGUGAGAGUAUUUGCAGCGGCUGUAAUGAUCUAUCUGGAUUAUAAGGCUGUACAGCAAAGAGAUAAAUGGACCAUCAAAUCGAAAAGAGCUGCAUUGUGGGAGAAGGCUCAUGAGCGCAAUGCUAAGCGUGUUCUCAACUUGAUGAUAGAAUUGGAAGGAUUGUGGGUAAAACUUGGACAGUACUUAUCCACACGUGCUGAUGUGCUUCCUCCUGCAUAUAUAUCACUUCUCAAGCAGUUACAGGACUCUCUUCCUCCUCGUCCUCUGCAAGAGGUUUGUCAAACUAUAGAGAAAGAACUGGGAAAAUCCAUGGAUGAUCUUUUCUCAGAUUUUAACAGGACGCCUUUGGCAACAGCAUCAGUAAGAUACCUUUUUUUUAAAUGGAAAGCUAAAACUAACACAUACUUAGGAUGAAAAGUAUUCUAUGGUAUAGCAGAGGGAGAACAUAUUUUUUUUAUUAUUAAUUCUAUUGAUCCUAUAUUAUAUUCUGUGUAGAUUGCACAAGUCCAUCGUGCAACACUUAUUAAUGGGCAGGAGGUGGUUGUUAAAGUUCAACAUGAGGGCAUUAAAACAAUUAUAUUGGAGGUUUCUCACUAUUUUUUUCUUAAGACGCUAAAAUGAAGAGUAACAGUUGCUAACUUUAUGUAUCUUUUGCGUAUGCCAUUGUUUUUCAGGACUUAAAGAAUGCCAAGUCAAUUGUUGACUGGAUAGCAUGGGCAGAGCCUCAGUAUGACUUUAAUCCCAUGAUAGAUGAAUGGUGCAAAGAAGCUCCAAGAGAACUUGACUUCAAUAUUGAAGCUGGUAUGCUUUGAUUCUUUCAUGAUAUUUAUGUUGGGCGGAUUCUGUCAAUUUUGAACUUGACAGAUAAGGAGUUGUUUUCUUCUAGUGAGUAAUGAAUACAAGUCAAAGGUAGGUAUGGUUAAUUUUAAAUGUACAGAAGUAAUUUAAUCAUCUGGAAAAGUGAAAUUCAAUUAUAUUUCAGAAUUUCACACUGUGGAUGAGCGUAUUAGGUUCCUGUUUAAUUGAUUUGAUUAUAGGGGUGAUAGGAUGUUCGAUACUCUGGAGCUUUCAUUGGCAAUGCCAUAGCAGUAGUGUGGCAAACAUAAGUGAUGGCAAUGCUAUCAGAGAGUGGUGAAGUAGCUUUAGCAUAGUGGUGUUUAAAUUGGGGCCGUUGUGGCGAUUGAAAUAUGUUAGACAUUGAGGAUGGCAGUGACCAACACUAGGCCACAUAAUACUAAAGGUGGUGUUCACAGCAGUGGCAACAACAGUGUCAAUAGUUCUGCUGUGAAGAGUUUGAUGGUACCGUGGUGCUGAUGGUAAAGCAGUAGUAACUGAUGUGAUGACGUCAACAUGUGUUGGUGGUAAUUUGAUGUCAAUGAUGUGAGGGUAUUGGCAUGGUGCCCCAUAAUCAUUAUGGUGUUAACCUUGUUAUCAAGGUGAAAGGAGAUACUAAGGCGAUAGGGUACCCAAUGGCUUUAGGCAAAAAGCAAGGCAUGGGCCUUUUUGAAGCACAAAGCCUAACCUGAAUUGCCUAAAUAUUAUACACACACACACUCGCAUACACACACACACGCUUCUAAGUAUGGUUUUAAAUAAUGAACGUAACGGCCGUUAUUUAAAGGUUUUUUGGCUUACCGUUACCGUUACCACCUUUAUUUAACGGAUUUGUAAAUUUGUAAUUGUAAAAGCCGUUACGUCCAUUAUUUAAAGGUAAUGGCCAUUACUGACCUUUAAGUAACGGUCAUAACAACCGCUACUUUUCCAACUUAGUUUUCUAGGU